CCUGCCGUUGCCGGCGACCGGCGCACGGGUGAGUAACACGUAUGCAACCUGCCCGUGGCAGGGGGAUAAGCGGGGGAAACCCCGUCUAAUACCGCGUAACGCGGCCUUGGGGCAUCCCAAGGCCGCCAAAGGGAGCAAUCCCGGCCACGGAUGGGCAUGCGGCGCAUUAGCUAGUCGGCGGGGUAACGGCCCACCGAGGCGACGAUGCGUAGGGGUUCUGAGAGGAAGGCCCCCCACACUGGUACUGAGACACGGUCCAAACUCCUACGGGAGGCAGCAG
RNAcentral lists this ribosomal RNA (280 nucleotides) under uncultured bacterium. RNAcentral describes it as "partial 16S ribosomal RNA". It matches the Rfam family "Bacterial small subunit ribosomal RNA", at positions 74 to 354 of the family's 1533-position model. The record is from RNAcentral.